AAUAAUCUCAAUCAGCCAUCUCAUACAAUAAAUGAAAGUUGGAUGAGAGAAUUUUUUUACAUUUUUUGAAUUACAGGAUAUCGCAAACAAUAUCUUAUUGAAAUAAGAAAAAAUAUUCUUAUGCUCCAGCAGCUGGUGCAUUAUCCAACACCUUGGAAAUAGUGUUGACUUCAUUAAUUGAUUCCCCAAGAAGCUUCUGUUCUAGUGGAGUUAAGUCCAAUUCGAGAAUGUCCUCAACACCAUUCUUUCCAAUAAUUGUUGGAACACCCAUGUAUAUACCCUUUACACCAUAAUGGUUGGAGCAGAAUGCAGAACAUGGAACAACUGCCUUCUUGUCCUUUAGGUAAGCUUCAGCCAUCUUAACAGCAGCAGCGGCUGGUGCAAAGUAGGCAGUUCCUGUCUUUAAGUUAUCAGCAACUUCCUUCCAUGCUAUUCUGGUAUGGCACACAAUCUCAUCAAUUUGUUCCUGGGUGAUAAGACCUUGCUUAAUGAAGGAUGAAAGAGGAACACCACCAACCGAAACUGAACUAGUAACUGGUACCAUACCAUCGCCAUGGCCACCAAUAACGUUGGCACUAACAUCAGAAGCAUUAACGCCAAAAUGUUGUGCAAUGAAUGUUCUAAAUCUAGAUGAAUCUAAUACACCUGCCAUACCACAAACUUUGUUAUGUGGAAGCCCAGAAACCUUUUGGAAGUGUGAAACCAUAACAUCUAAUGGGUUUGUGAUACAGAUGACAAAGGCAUUUGGACAGUAUUUCUUAACACCUUCGGCAACUGAAUCCAAAAUACGAGCAUUUCCGAAUAAGAGUUCAGAACGAUCAUCUUUUGGACGACCUGGAAUGGAGGCUGUGAUAAUAACUACAUCAGAGCCUGAUAUAUCAGCAUAAUCAUUUGUGCCGAUAACCUUUGAUGUGGAACCAAACAUUACCAUAGAGUGGGUAAUAUCUAGUGCUUUUCCUUGUGGAAUGCCUUCUGCAAUAUCAAAAAGUACUACAUCGGCUAAAUUGUCUUUACCUACAAUAUAUGCAAUAUUACCUCCAAUUUGUCCUGACCCAAUAACGGCAAUCUUGCGUCUUUCAAUCAUCUUUAAUAUAAAAAAAAUAAAUAAAUGCUUUGAAAACAAAAAUUCGCUUUAAUUAAAC
RNAcentral lists this non-coding RNA (1142 nucleotides) under Cryptosporidium parvum. Lineage: Eukaryota; Apicomplexa; Conoidasida; Eucoccidiorida; Cryptosporidiidae. The record is from RNAcentral.